Molecule: long non-coding RNA, 337 nt
Filed under: Lonchura striata (white-rumped munia)
Lineage: Eukaryota; Metazoa; Chordata; Aves; Passeriformes; Estrildidae
Description: domestica (Bengalese finch) lncRNA (ENSLSDG00000002840.1)
Source: RNAcentral
UUUAUUGAAAACCCAAUGCUUAUUAAAGGCUAUGCAAUAGAAGAUCCAUUGGGUGCUUGGCUGCUGAGUGGCCCUGGUCUGGAGACAGGAGAGGAAUCCAGGUCUUUGAAGACCCAAGCACUAUCCAAUGAGCUCUGCUCCCAAAACACUGGCUGGUCUGAGCUUUUAUCAAAUCUAAGUGUUCUUUAACUCCUGCUGACAAGAGCAAUCUGAAUCCUCAGAGGUCUUGAGUAAAGAGGAAACCUGCAGGGACCAGGUUAAGUUGAAAGAGUGAGUAACUGCAAUAUUCUGUAAUUACUUCUACAAUGCUCUCCUUCCAGUAGUCUCUUGUUCAAGG